RNAcentral lists this ribosomal RNA (259 nucleotides) under uncultured bacterium. RNAcentral's name for it is "partial 16S ribosomal RNA". It matches the Rfam family "Bacterial small subunit ribosomal RNA", at positions 526 to 779 of the family's 1533-position model. The record is from RNAcentral.
CGAAGGGUGCAAGCGUUAAUCGGAGUUACUGGGGCGUAAAGCGCGCGUAGGUGGUUCGUUAAGUUGGAUGUGAAAGCCCCGGGCGUCAACCUGGGAACGUGCAUCCAAAACUAGGCGAGCUAGAGUACGGUAGAGGGUGGUGGAAUUUCCUGUGUAGCGGUGAAAUGCGUAGAUAUAGGAAGGAACACCAGUGGCGAAGGCGACCACCUGGACUGAUACUGACACUGAGGCGCGAAAAGCGUGGGGAGCAAACAGGAUU